AGGGGCCUGCGGGCUAUCAGCUUGUUGGUGGGGUAAUGGCUUACCAAGGCGAAGACGGCUAGGGGGCGUGAGAGCGCGACCCCCCACAAUGGAACUGAGACACGGUCCAUACUCCUACGGGAGGCAGCAGUGAGGAAUAUUGCGCAAUGGGGGCAACCCUGACGCAGCAACGCCGCGUGGACGAUGAAGGCCUUCGGGUUGUAAAGUCCUUUUCUGAAGGAAGAUAGUGACGGUACUUCAGGAAUAAGUCCCGGCUAACUACGUGCCAGCAGCCGCGGUAAAACGUAGGGGGCGAGCGUUAUCCGGAUUUACUGGGCGUAAAGCGCACGUAGGCGGCAUCGUAAGUUGGACGUGAAAGCUCCCGGCUCAACUGGGAGAGGUCGUUCAAAACUGUGGUGCUUGAGGUUGAUAGAGGAGAGUGGAAUUCCCGGUGUAGUGGUGGAAUGCGUAGAUAUCGGGAGGAACACCAGUGGCGAAGGCGGCUCUCUAGGUCACACCUGACGCUGAGGUGCGAAAGCGUGGGGAGCGAACGGGAUUAGAUACCCCGGUAGUCCACGCUGUAAACGAUGGAUACUAGGUGUGGGAGGUUAUUUACCCCUUCUGUGCCGUAGCUAACGCGUUAAGUAUCCCGCCUGGGGACUACGGCCGCAAGGUUAAAACUCAAAGGAAUUGACGGGGGCCCGCACAAGCAGCGGAGCGUGUGGUUUAAUUCGAUGAUACGCGAAGAACCUUACCUGGGCUUGACAUGGUGGUAGUAGUGAAGCGAAAGCGGAACGACCCUUCGGGGAGCCAUCACAGGUGCUGCAUGGCUGUCGUCAGCUCGUGUCGUGAGAUGUUGGGUUAAGUCCCGCAACGAGCGCAACCCUCGUCGCUAGUUAUAUGUGUCUAGUGAGACUGCCGGUAUCAAACCGGAGGAAGGUGGGGAUGACGUCAAGUCAGCAUGGUCUUUAUGUCCAGGGCUACACACACGCUACAAUGGCCGGUACAAUGGGUUGCCAUACCGCGAGGUGGAGCUAAUCCUCAAAGCCGGUCUCAGU
Molecule: ribosomal RNA, 1037 nt
Filed under: uncultured organism
Description: bacterial SSU rRNA
Rfam family: Bacterial small subunit ribosomal RNA
Source: RNAcentral